Saccostrea cuccullata (small rock oyster) is the source of this 1010-nucleotide long non-coding RNA. RefSeq lists it as uncharacterized. NCBI's taxonomy places the organism in Eukaryota, Metazoa, Mollusca, Bivalvia, Ostreida, Ostreidae. The record is from RefSeq and is a predicted model, not a curated record. The transcript has 3 exons.
UAUACCAAAAAUAAUUAUCUCAUCCAAACUUGCUUUUUACAACAUUAUUAUUAUUUUCCUGCAACAAUUAUAAUCUUGUCUGUUAAAUGUGUACACAUUAUUAUUAUUAUUUUGUCCUACAAUUAUAAUGAUUCACUUCACAAUAAUAAUCUUGCCAGUCAAUGUGGACACAUUACUAUAAUUUUUCGCCUCAUGAUUAUAAUCUUGUCAGUCGAUGUUUUAAAACAUUAUUUUUAUUUCACCUCAAUAUUAUAAUAAUUAUUCUUACUUUUAACAAUUAUAAUCUUGUUUGCCCGAGCGAACACAUUAUUUUUAUUUCGCUUCAAAUUUAUAAUAAUUAUAUUCCACAUCGAUCAUACAAUUAUAAUCUGUCUCUCCAACAAUUAUAAUAAUCGCGACCAAAAAAGUUGCAACAUUAUUAUUAUUUAGACGCUUGAAAUCAAACGUUUGUGUGAUUUUGAUGUACUGAACAAUUAUAAUCUUGUCAGAUUUUCUUUGGGAAAGAUUAUUAUUAUUUGGACGCUUGAAAAAGUAAACGUUUGUCUGCCGAAGACAAUCACGUGGUUUAAGACCAUGUGCUUCCCUGAUCAACAGUGCCGAGUACGGCGCCAGUGAAAGGCAGGCGGUUUGCCGGAGCAACAAAGAGUCGUGAUUUUUAGAGGCAUGCAGGUUUCAAAGAAAGAAAACAGUGUUGUAAAGAAAGAAAAAGAUUGCAGAUGACACCGAGGUGAAAAGAACAAAAGGUUCAGGAACCAUAAAUUUGAUGUUGGAGUUUGAACUUCACCCUGACAGACUUUGAGCACAUCAUAAGUUUCAGACCUAUGGACAAAAAUCUGGCAGCCAUGAUAAAUAUCAGAGAAAUCUCCUUGGAAGAGUGUGCCGGUCUAGACAAAAAGUUGCAAUGUGAAUAACUUGGAAGAAAAAAAGAGUCUUGUCAAAUUUCAGAGAAUUCUUGAUGAAAGAUUGCAUGUGUUGUUCCUGUUCCAUGAAAUUUGUCUUUUUAUACGCCC